This 1735-nucleotide long non-coding RNA is filed under the name Aedes aegypti (yellow fever mosquito). RNAcentral's name for it is "lncRNA AAEL027437". Lineage: Eukaryota; Metazoa; Arthropoda; Insecta; Diptera; Culicidae. The record is from RNAcentral.
UCUCUACCACGAGUAAUGAGUUAAUAAUUUAAUUAUUUGAAAGUUAUGUAUUCAUAACAAUUGCCAUGGUAAAAUGCAAAAUACAUCUACGUUAACUAUUCUGAGCUUUGUGCGUACAAAAAAGCCCAAAUUUCAAUUUGAUGUUAUUUCACACCCAUUUAUUCACGGAUAUCUGUUGUGCCGAUAACACAAUGAACGAUUCAAGCUUCAAAAUGCUUAGUUUUUAGUAAAAGGGAUAAUUCUUCUGCAGAGAUGUAAAAAUAUGUUUGAAGAUUCGUUGAAACACUAUUGAAACUUUAAAGUUCCUUCCACCAAGUAGUAACAGAACCACUGUCGUAUAGUCAUCGCGCGCGGUUUGCGCAUUCCAGUUUUGCAUCCCCUCGAGCGCAAUCAUGUGUUGCAAAUCUGGUACGGUUUUUAAAAGCUAAUUUACAAUUCGUUCAACAAUCGGGCGAGCCCCAUCGACAUCCAUUGAACUCUUAUGGCACUUUGGCACCGCAAAGUACCUACACUGCACUUCUCUCUUUCUCUCUGUCUAUGCGAAGUGGCUGCCUUCUGUUUGUUGUUACUGGUGUGGUUCGAACCAAUCUUAUUUAUUAUGCCAACACACAAACUCAUCGACGACCAUAGCGCAGCAGAAGAGAAGCAUCGGCGAAGUUUUCGAAGUUGGUCUGCUGUGCUGUGGUCUCGUCGUCCCUAAGAGAGAGAGACGGAUAUUUUCGGUUCCCUUCUGCUGCUGCUAUCUUGGGCCGUUGCUUCUCAUCUGUAUUCGUGCGAAAAGUGGAUCUUAACAAAGCGGCUCCACAAUACUUAUUGCCGGGCUUGGGCCGCGCAACGGAUUCAGCUGAGCAAAUCUUCUGAAGGGCCGUUUCCACGCUCGAUGGCCAUUGUUCUGGUUUUAAAGAUGGGGCUUUACCGGAGUUCGGUAACGAAAAGUAUUGACGUCGUUGUGCAUACGGAUCAGAUUGGUAACUCACAAUUCAUGAGCGAUUCGGAAUCACUCAGCUAGUGUCUUGUAUUUAUGAACAAACCAAUUGACCUGCAGGGUGGAUGAAUCGCUCUUCUCCGAGUGCUCGAUUCCGCGAAUUACAACUAAGGAACGCGCAUUUGAUCUACAUUCGGAUGGAAGCAUCUCGCUUGACAGAGCAAAAUUAUGCUUCUCUCGCUUAUUGGCCGCAACAUAACCUCAGCUCUACUGAGAAAUCCCUCGCUCCAUGCAAUACCUCACCGCCUCACUUACAGACCAGCAUCGAUCGACAUAAAUCCAUAUACUUAGCGUAUCGACUGCCAGCUUUGCUCUGCUGUAACGUAGUGUGUACUCUACAAUCAUUCGAUUAUUAUAUUAAUUAUGAAUCUCCCAUCGACUGGGCCGCUGUUUAUAAACAUUCUGCAUUUGUCUUGCGCAUUUCGUUUUCCACUCGCAUUCUGCGCGCAUAAUUGGUUUGCUAAGGGUCUGGAAGCGCACUUUGAAGUUUCACGCUCAUCAGCAGUGAUCGCGGCACCCAGAAAGAGAGAGAAAGAAAUGAUGAGACACGGAAUUUGCUCCAAUUUUCUGCGAAUAAAGAGGUUUCACAGAACGUGCCGCUCGGAUAAAUGAUGUUUAGUGAUCGAACCAAUGUAUAGACAGAUUAUACAUUCCGUAAUGUUUAAAAGGUGGUGAAUUCAGUUUGAAAAUCCAAGUCAAACGUUUUUAUCAGACAUACUCCUAACAGAGACAUCGAGCUCUUAAUCCAUC